AUAAAUGUUGUGGCCUAUGGUUGGUCAAUCUAACCAGUAUGGUUAUGUAAUUAACGAAUCCCAGCAUAUCCCAGUUGGAUAUCGAACGGACGUUCCAACGUUCGAGGCUGAGAUCAACUGACAGGUUGUCGGUGGUGUAAAGUGUGACAGUCGUCAAUCAUACAGUCGCGUCGAUCGACCUAUCCUAUCAAGGAAGGUUAAGAGAAGUCCCGCUGGGCUACGAUCACCAGUUACCGAUCGUAUAUAAUUCGGUGCGGAUGCCUGGUAGGCAUGGGUAGUCUAGCGCUGCUAUUACUACUGGUGUUGUGGUCACACCCACCUCGCACCUUUAUCACCU
RNAcentral lists this long non-coding RNA (337 nucleotides) under Volvox carteri. RNAcentral's name for it is "long non-coding RNA (VCAR_LNC002827)". Lineage: Eukaryota; Viridiplantae; Chlorophyta; Chlorophyceae; Chlamydomonadales; Volvocaceae. The record is from RNAcentral.